This 373-nucleotide ribosomal RNA is filed under the name uncultured Actinobacteridae bacterium. RNAcentral describes it as "bacterial SSU rRNA". It matches the Rfam family "Bacterial small subunit ribosomal RNA", at positions 114 to 507 of the family's 1533-position model. Lineage: Bacteria; Bacillati; Actinomycetota; Actinomycetes. The record is from RNAcentral.
CACGUGAGUAACCUGCCCUUCACUCUGGGAUAAGCCUUGGAAACGAGGUCUAAUACUGGAUAUGACCUGGCCCUGCAUGGGGUUGGGUGGAAAGUUUUUCGGUGAGGGAUGGACUCGCGGCCUAUCAGCUUGUUGGUGAGGUAGUGGCUCACCAAGGCGACGACGGGUAGCCGGCCUGAGAGGGCGACCGGCCACACUGGGACUGAGAUACGGCCCAGACUCCUACGGGAGGCAGCAGUGGGGAAUAUUGCGCAAUGGGCGAAAGCCUGACGCAGCAACGCCGCGUGCGGGAUGACGGCCUUCGGGUUGUAAACCGCUUUCAGCAGGGACGAAACUGACGGUACCUGCAGAAGAAGCACCGGCUAACUACGUG